AGAGUUUGAUCAUGGCUCAGGAUGAACGCUAGUGGGAGGCCUAACACAUGCAAGUCGAACGGGAAGGGAAGCAAUUCCCAGAGAGUGGCGCACGGGUGAGUAACGCGUAUGCAACCUGCCUUUAACUGAGGGAUAGCCCAUAGAAAUGUGGAUUAAUACCUCAUAGUUCUUUUUCUUCGCAUGAAGGAAAAGAUAAAGCUGCGGCGGUUAGAGAUGGGCAUGCGUGACAUUAGCUGGUUGGUGAGGUAACGGCUCACCAAGGCGACGAUGUCUAGGGGUUCUGAGAGGAUGAUCCCCCACACUGGUACUGAGACACGGACCAGACUCCUACGGGAGGCAGCAGUGAGGAAUAUUGGUCAAUGGGCGCAAGCCUGAACCAGCCAUCCCGCGUGCAGGAUGACGGCCCUAUGGGUUGUAAACUGCUUUUGUACACCAAGAAAACUCGCUACGUGUAGCGAUCUGACGGUAGUGUAUGAAUAAGCAUCGGCUAACUCCGUGCCAGCAGCCGCGGUAAUACGGAGGAUGCAAGCGUUAUCCGGAUUCAUUGGGUUUAAAGGGUGCGUAGGCGGCCUUUUAAGUCAGUGGUGAAAUCCUGCCGCUUAACGGUAGAAUUGCCAUUGAUACUGAAAGGCUUGAGUUCAGUUGAGGUAAGCGGAAUGUGUAGUGUAGCGGUGAAAUGCUUAGAUAUUACACAGAACACCAAUUGCGAAGGCAGCUUACUAAACUGACACUGACGCUGAUGCACGAAAGCGUGGGGAGCGAACAGGAUUAGAUACCCUGGUAGUCCACGCCGUAAACGAUGUUCACUCGCUGUUUGCGAUACACAGCAAGCGGCCAAGCGAAAGCAUUAAGUGAACCACCUGGGGAGUACGAUCGCAAGGUUGAAACUCAAAUGAAUUGACGG
This 904-nucleotide ribosomal RNA is filed under the name uncultured bacterium. RNAcentral describes it as "bacterial SSU rRNA". It matches the Rfam family "Bacterial small subunit ribosomal RNA", at positions 8 to 916 of the family's 1533-position model. The record is from RNAcentral.